GAGGGGACAUGGGCGGUUCGCUGCCCGUGACGUCGCGAGAAGUCCACUGAACCUUAUCAUUUAGAGGAAGGAGAAGUCGUAACAAGGUUUCCGUAGGUGAACCUGCGGAAGGAUCAUUGUCGAAACCUGCCCAGCAGAAAGACCCGUGAACCUGUUUGUACCUCGCGAUUGGUGGGGGGUGCAGCAUGCACCCUUUGCUCAUCAUGCUAAGUGCGUGCCGCUCUGCGUCACGCCCUCGGCCCUGAACGAACCCCGGCGCGGAGAGCGUCAAGGAAAGACAAUGAAACGGGGGCUACCAAGUCACUAGAAUCGGUGUACAUCUUGGUAGUCGCAUCGUGGUUGGUUGAAUAACGACUCUCGGCAACGGAUAUCUCGGCUCUCGCAUCGAUGAAGAACGUAGCGAAAUGCGAUACUUGGUGUGAAUUGCAGAAUCCCGUGAACCAUCGAGUCUUUGAACGCAAGUUGCGCCCGAAGCCAUCCGGUCGAGGGCACGUCUGCCUGGGCGUCACACACCGUAGCCCCCCUAACCCCUUGUCACUCGUUGUGUGGUGCAUGUGGACCAGAAGGGGCGGAUAUUGGCCUCCCGUGCGAUGUGGACUUCGUGGUUGGCCUAAACUCAAGUCCCUUGUCACGUGCAUCGUGGCAAAAGGUGGUUGUCGAUCAGUCGGUGCCCCGUCACUUUGAUGCCGGACAUGUAAAGGGACUCCCAGCGACCCCAACGCAUCGAUUGUAGGUGCUUCGAAAGCGACCCCAGGUCAGGCGGGGCUACCCGCUGAGUUUAAGCAUAUCAAUAAGCGGAGGAAAAGAAACUUACAAGGA
Molecule: small RNA, 819 nt
Filed under: Maclura fruticosa
Lineage: Eukaryota; Viridiplantae; Streptophyta; Magnoliopsida; Rosales; Moraceae
Description: eukaryotic LSU rRNA
Rfam family: 5.8S ribosomal RNA (bases 353-508)
Source: RNAcentral